RNAcentral lists this ribosomal RNA (315 nucleotides) under uncultured bacterium. RNAcentral describes it as "bacterial SSU rRNA". It matches the Rfam family "Bacterial small subunit ribosomal RNA", at positions 29 to 330 of the family's 1533-position model. The record is from RNAcentral.
AACGAACGCUGGCGGCGUGGAUAAGACAUGCAAGUCGAACGGGACUAAAUCUGUAGCAAUACAGGUUUAGUUUAGUGGCGAACGGGUGCGUAACACGUGGGCAAUCUGCCGAGAAGUGGGGGAUAGCUCGCCGAAAGGCGAAUUAAUACCGCAUAUGAUCAGCUAAGACAUCUUAGCGACAUCAAAGCCGGGGUAACCUGGCGCUUCUUGAUGAGCCCGCGGCCAUCAGCUAGUUGGCGAGGUAACGGCUCACCAAGGCUAUGACGGGUAGCUGGUCUGAGAGGACGACCAGUCACACUGGAACUGAGACACGGU